Molecule: long non-coding RNA, 3188 nt
Filed under: Marmota marmota marmota (Alpine marmot)
Lineage: Eukaryota; Metazoa; Chordata; Mammalia; Rodentia; Sciuridae
Description: lncRNA (ENSMMMG00000014123.1)
Source: RNAcentral
CUCAAAGUUCAUCUGGUUCUUUCUUUCUUCAUUACCAUUCCUCUAUUUAUUCAAAUUCAGAUCAUCAAUCCAUAUCCAGAGCUGGCAGUCCUAACCAGGUAAGAAAUAGCCAAAGACCAUAUGUUUGCAUGAAAUAGAGCUUUCUCAUUUGGAUUUAAUUAAUUUAAUCCUCUCAAUCCCACAAUUUACUUUUAAACACACACACACUAUUUUACAUGCACACUGUUCUAGUCAGCUUUUCGUUGCUGUGAUUAAAAGAUCUGACCAGAACAAUUGUAGAGGAGGAAAAGUUUAUCUGAGGUCUCACCAUUUCAGAAGUCUCAGUUCAUAGAUAGGCAGCUCCAUUCCUCAGGGUUUGAGGUGAGGCACAACAUCAGCAGGGAAGAGUGUGGCAGAGGGAAGCUGCUCACAUGAUGAUCAGGAGGCAGAGAGACAGAGAAAGACUCCACUGGCCAGAUACAAAAUGACCAGAUACUCUAAUGACCCAUCUCUUCCAGCCACACCCUACUCACCUUUAUUUACCACUCUGUUAAUCCCCAUCCCCCCAUCAACAGAUACAUUCACUGAUUGGGUUAAAGCUCUCAUAACCCAUUCAUUUUUCUUCUAAACCUUCUUGCAUUAUCUUAUAAGUGAGCUUUAGGGGAGACAUCACAACCAACCCAUGACACACAUGCCCACAAGGGAUGGAUCAGUAACCACAUAGGUAUUUUUAAAAGCAAAGCUAACCCCAACAUACCAUAUGUUUGCUUUUAUUAUUUGCAGAUUGCCAAGGACCUCCUCCAACAGGAGAUGCAGAAAUUCUGUUAGGUUCCUGGCCUGACCAGCCUUAUCCAGAGGGUACUCAGGCUACCUACAAAUGCCACCCUGGCUACAGAACACUUGGUACCAUCAAAAGGCAUGCAGAAAUGGAGAAUGGGUGGCUCUUAAUCCAGGCAGGAUAUGUCAGAGAUGAAUGGAAGCCCAGGCGCUAACGCAGAUGACUGCAGAGACUUUCCCACCGGGCCUCAAGCCAAAACAACACAAAAAGCCACAGCUCCUGAGUCGGAGUUCCUCAGUGCAGCUCACUCUCAGGGGUGCCCAGAUGGGCCUGACAAGGUAGGUGCAGGUGCCAUUGAGGGGACACAGGCACUAGGUGGAGCCACAGUGUCAGGCAAAGAUCUGUUUUCCCUGUUUCAUCACCGCCCGGCGGGAACUGCGGAGGGCAGUACGAACUCACGACUCGGGGAUGCAGAAGAAGCAGCGAUGCUUGAGGCCACAGGUGUCUGACCUGUCCCCUCUUGGAUUCCAAAAGGCUGGAGUGGAAGAGGGAGGCUCUUUUACCUGACCCAGGGGCUCUCAUUACCACCGCGGACUUGGUGGGUUCUGCGGUGGCCUAAAGCUCCCAGGCAGCUGCAGAGGACAGGAGCUGCCACGAGGGGACAGCAGAACACCGGCGUUGACAGAGUGAGUUCUGUCUGCCAUAGUAGGAAUGGGAGAGACGUCUCUGUGCAGGGAACAAGGAUGCUCCAAGAGAGGCCUGGCAAGUUCUCUCCCCGAAGGCUCCAGAAGGAGUACAGCGUCCAGAUUUCCAAUAGAGGUCACCAGGGCCAGCCGGAGCUGACUCAUACAGGCUCACAAGAGCAGAUGGUUGAAUUUUUUAAAAAAUCUUCAAGCCCACUGGUAAAUAUAGCCUUUGUCAAAACUCACCUUAAAGAAAUUGUUUGAAAGCAAACAUACUCUAAAACUCAUCAUUUCUAAUUAUUUUGCUACUAUGUUUUAUGUUCCUGAGGUUAUUUACAUUUAUUCUGGUGGAAAUGCCAUAACACUGUUUUACUGCCGGCAGCAACAGAACAUCUUUAGUCUGAAACUGAUCAUGGAAGGGGAAUUUACACACCGAGGAAUCAACCCAUGCUGCAGAUCAGGGCUACUGCUGUUGCUCCUCUUCCUCCCCUGCCUCCUCCUCCUUCUUGUAGUGGGACUUGAACCCAGGUGCACUUUGCCACUGAGCUAGACCCCAGGCACUUUUUUUUUUUUUUUUUUUUUUUUUNUUUUUUUUUUUUUUGAGACAGGGUCUUGCUGAAUUUCUUAAGUCCUCAUUAAGUUGCUGAGGUUGACCUCCAAACUUAAAUCCACCUGCCUCAGCCUCCUGAGUGCUGGGGGUUAUAGGCGUGGCCGUCCCACCUGGGCUUACUGGGCUGCUUUUGGAGAGCCAGCACACCUCUGGGACCCACUCCCCUCCUAUACCCAGUUCUCCCAUCUCUUCUCUUAUCCAGCCAGCCACUCCUACCUCUUCAGAGAUGGGAAGAUAAAAGGCUUGGCUUUGACCUGUAGCUCUGAGAACACUUCAGGACUUUACCUGGAUAAGCAGACAUGGAGAGAGAACUUAGAAGAGCAUGUCAUUCAAAGGGAAAAUAUCAAGGCAGGGCAGCACGUUGCCCCUCAUCCUCCCCUGCUCCCCACUCCUCCCACAACUCGUGGCACCUACAGAGCAGGUGAAGGAAGAGAUGUUGAGCCUGAAGAAGAGGAGAUACCGCCAACUGUCUACCAAACAUUUGAAGGGCUGGGAUGUGAGUGAGAACUUCUCUAUCAGUAUCCAAGAUAAAAAAAAACCAAGGCCAAGACAUACAGAUUCAACUUAAUAUGAAGAACCUCAACUGAGCCAUUCGAAGAUGGGAUGAAAUGGUUCAUGAGUGCUGCCUCCUCCUCCAGUACAUGGGAUGCAUAAAAGAGAAUUUAAGACUCAUACAAAAGCCAUGCUGUCCACAGUCCAACAUCAUAGUGUUAGCUGAGAACUAGUUAGAAAUGCAGGACCUCAGGCUCCACCCCAGGCCUGCUGAAUCAGAAUCUAAAUUUUAACAAGACCCCAAAGUGACCUAUAAGAAACAGCAGUUUCAGAAGCUUCAAACUGAAUCAGAUGAAUUUGAGGUGGAGAUAUACUAUAUUAUUUCGUAUAAUGUAGUGGAAACUAUAGCAAUUGUUUCUUUAUGGAAACAAUCUGUAUUUGGGAGCUGGUUAGUACAUUAUAGCAAUCAAUGUGAUGGGAUAACUGUUCAUAUGGUAACAUGAAGGAGAUGAUUUUCAUUAACUGGUAGAGAUGAAAUCCAGGCUACAUUGUGAAGUGAGGAAAACAAAGUCAUUUCUAAAAUCAAAAUUUGUUCUAAAUCACCAAUAGAAUAGCUAAAAAUAAAAUUGAACCUGUAUAAGAAUCA